This 247-nucleotide ribosomal RNA is filed under the name uncultured bacterium. RNAcentral describes it as "partial 16S ribosomal RNA". It matches the Rfam family "Bacterial small subunit ribosomal RNA", at positions 85 to 334 of the family's 1533-position model. The record is from RNAcentral.
CGUCCGGCGACCGGCGCACGGGUGAGUAACACGUAUGCAACCUACCUUUAACAGGGGAUAACACUGAGAAAUUGGUACUAAUACCCCAUAAUAUCAUAGAAGGCAUCUUUUAUGGUUGAAAAUUCCGAUGGUUAGAGAUGGGCAUGCGUUGUAUUAGCUAGUUGGUGGGGUAACGGCUCACCAAGGCGACGAUACAUAGGGGGACUGAGAGGUUAACCCCCCACACUGGAACUGAGACACGGUCCAA